CUAAGUGUGAAACUCGCCUCGAGAUGAGAUUUCCCAUUUCCUUCGGGAAAGUAAGACCCCUCAGAGAUGAUGAGGUAGAUAGGAUGGAAGUGGAAGUGCCGUGAGGCAUGGAGCGGACCAUUACUAAUCGGUCGAGGACUUAACCAAG
Molecule: ribosomal RNA, 148 nt
Filed under: Limosilactobacillus reuteri
Lineage: Bacteria; Bacillati; Bacillota; Bacilli; Lactobacillales; Lactobacillaceae
Description: partial 23S ribosomal RNA
Rfam family: Bacterial large subunit ribosomal RNA
Source: RNAcentral